GUGGCGGCGCUUGUUUACUUUGUCGGUGUGUUUGAACCUCCCAGGGGCUAGGUUGGUCGUCCAGAGGACCCGCCGCCUGUCGCGAGCUUUUGCCGAGCUGUGGCUUCUCUGAGAGUUGAAACAGGGCUCCUCUUUGUCGUGUCUCCUGAGGCCAUUUCCCCCCCUCCCCACAGGAAGGCUGGAGGCGGCGGGAAGCCACACGAGGCAUGCUUGGGCGAGGGCCCCGGUUGGGGAGGCAGGGCUGAGCCUUCCAUCCCGCUGCCCAGGGCUGCCUCCAGGCUGUGGUGUCACCUCCCAGAGGCUUCCGCCGUGAAUGAGUGUCACUCCUGGCGGCAGUGCCUCCAGGCCUGACUCUGGCCCCAAGAGUCUGGCACUGAAAUCCCUAAAGAGUCCCCGGCUGAGUAACCUUGAUAAGGCCCGACUCAGGCCCUGUCUCACGGGCAUGUCUCCAAGAUGAAACGAGACGACUGUAACUUGCCUUGCACAGUAUCCAGCACAUAGUAGGUCCUUAAUCUAGAAUGGUGGAGCGAACCGAAGAAUAAAUUCAUGAACCGCAUGUGGAGAGGGGUUUGGAACCUAAUAACUGAAUACAGUAUCACAACCAUGACUGUUAUUAUAAAAUAAUAAUGCAGCCUAGAAAAUAGCCAUAGCCUGUGAGCAUCUGGGUGCCCCCCAGUGACGGUAACUGGGCGAUCAGUGGGGCUGCUCCCCAGCUUCCAGGCCCCUGUAGAACCGCACUUCUGUGCCUCUGCGAAGAGGCCGGUUACAUGUGCAUUAAGUAGCGUAUCUUCCGAUGGGAGGUUUCAGAACCCAGGGCGCAGUGUGCCCUGACGCGUGCCUGUGCUUGGAGGCUGGUCAGACGUGGAUGGAGGCGGAGAGCGCCGGGCCAGCCGGCGGCGAUGACCGUGCGUGAACGAGAAACGAGCUUUUGUAUCUGGGCUGCCGAGUUUAGUUUUGCGGCCGACCUCACCUGCCCUGACUGGUGGAAAGAGAGAAUCACGGGGGAGCGAACGGUCCGUCUUCCACCGGAACACAGCCCCUCACAGCAGCACAAGCUGAGGAGGGUCUUCCUGGGGGCCUCUGCCCGCCAUGUACCAUCUUGGGAAGGCGUUGGCCUGAAACAUCUCCAGGGACGGGGGCUCGCUCUCUGAAGUCAUCUCCAGCUUCAGGAAAACCUCUGUUGCUUUCAGUUCCACUAGAAUUUUCCAGCCUUUAACUUGACUCACUGCCUCCAGCUCGAGCCUCAGAGCUCCUGGGUUACAGCAGCCCUGGGACAGCUCUGGGCCCGGAAAGGAUGUCCUCUCUCUCUGCUUUACACGUGAGGACAUGGAGGUGCCGACUGCGAGCUUGAGACCUCCAGGCGAUAAUUCAGUGUUCGUUCUGCCUAGACCAUAGAGGACAGGUUCAAAACCGCACCCUGCCCCUUCCUAGACGUGAAUGCCCUAGCAGAGCGGGGUCUGAGUGCAAGUUCUUGGCACACGCACACUCACUGUACCCUCCUGCGGUCCCGCACAGGGCCUGGCAUGAGGCUGCAGAGAUGAGAGACACAGGUCCUGCCCUCACAGGGUUCUCAGUCUGGUUGGAGAGGUUCAUGGGUGUGGAAGUCUUGGAGGGCUUCCUGGAGUUGGUGAUAAGCAGUGUCCUCUGCCUCCUCUGAUGGAUAGGCUGACGCUCCGUGCUUCCCACCGAGGACUCACCUCCUUUGUGUAUCUCUGUACAAACUUCAGGCCCCUGAUCUCCCAGCAGGUGGCCCUGGCCUUGGCGUGAAGAAGGGGCCUGAGAUAGCAGCCUCAGGGGUGAUGCGGUGUUGUAACCCCGAGAGCGGGUGUGGCCUACAGCUCUGGAAAGACACUAACAGCCACUGAUGGUGCACCGGCAGUGGGCGAAUCGUUCGGCACGUGAUUCUAGCUGGUGAAGAUGUUUUAGGAAAACAUCACAUCAUGAGCGUUUCCUCCCCGACCCACAUCUGGUGCUUCCCACAGAACCCAGCCUGUUCAGCCCGAGGGUGUCUGCCUAAGAGGGGCGCUGUCCCUUCUGCCGCCGCGGUGCCCCAGCUACAGGCUCUGCUCUUCUCUUCGGGGUCAGUGGCCACUGGACGCUCACUUGGGUGAGCGUCAGGGAGUGUUGGGGACAUUGCUGGAGGCCUUUGGACAGCGGUCAGCUGGGCUCGUUACCCAGCAUGGGGUCCCCAGACCAGCAGCAGCGACAUCCCCAGGGAACUGUCAGAAAUGCCGAGCGGCCCUGAUUUGGAAUCUGACUCUUAACCAGAUCCUCACGGCCAUAGUGUCCUUGAGAGUGUGAGUGGCAUUAAUUUAGGGCAGGUGUCUCACACUUGGCUGCGUCGCUGACGCCCAAGUUCCACCCCCAGAGGUUCGAGGUUCCUUGCCUGGUGUCGCCCGGGAAUGUGAGGUGCGCCAGUGAUUGCAUCACGGUCGAGAAGCCCAGGUCCUUGCACAUACAGGUGUGGCUUCGUGAGCUUGUUUUGCCCGACGCCAGACGGGCUCACGCACCCUCACCGUGUCCCUCGCUGUCCAGCCAGGCUGACGGGCCCUGCAGUGGCUCUCCCUGGCACAUAGCACUCGUCUCAUCCUGUUUCAUCUUUGCCGAACAAUCACUGCCAUCUCCGUGGUCACUGUUAAACUUGGCCCCGACCGCACUGGGCCUCACUGCGAUUGUCCAAAUCCCGGACUUCAAACAAACAGAGAGAAAAUAACAUUGGCUACUCCUUUGUGAUAAGCCACUUUUAUCAGCCCCCAUUGCACCCAGCUGGCAUCAGCUGGUCAGAUGGUCUCUUUUACAUGCUGUAAAUAAACAUCACCUGUUUGUCCAGGAUGACACGGGGGCAGCUCCUGCUGCUGGUGUUAUCACAGAGGAAGCACUAGGUUGGGUGUGAGUGUUUGGACGUGAACGAGAGGACAACAGCAGGGCCUUGGCUGAGCCCCAGGGCAACCAGGUCACAGCCUCGGGAGCUUUGCUGAGACCUGUGUGGUUAUUGCUUCCUGGACGGCGCAGCGCAGAGAAGGGGACUUUCACUUCUUCCUGCCUCAGUGGCUCCCUCUCCAGCGUCUAGACUUGGCGUUCACAAUGGCCAGCGCCUUCCGGAUUCCAUUCUCUGUCUGUUGCCAGUUUCCGAAGCCGCGUAUCUAAAUUGGGAUUUCCUGGAUUCCCAGAGUCUUAGGGUUGGAUGGGGCCCUGGAGGAGAGUGGGGCCAACCCCUCUCUCUCCAGGAGGACCAAAGAGCCGAGAGAGGAGAGCGAGGGUCCCCACCGGCUGGGAUGUUCCAGGCGAGAACACACUAAAGCGAGCUGCCCCUUCUGCCCUUAUAUCAGCGGGAAACAUAUCCUGGGAGCAGAGGAGUUGGGUCCGAUCCCAGGGUGCACUGUAGGAGGACCGCUGUUCGUUCGGGGGCGUGUGGCUUGGUCUGGUAACUCUGGUCUCCUUGUGCGGCCUGUUUGCCCGUCCUCUGAGAGAUCGCCGCCGCCAGAGCGGGGCUUCUCAGGGCUACGGUGCAUUUGCGUCCCUCGAUUCUGGUUCACCAGGUCUGGGGUGGGCCUGGGAGUCUCUUUUCUAAGCAGUUUUCAGGACGAGGAUGCUCCUGGUGCAGGGGACGCUAAGCAGGGAGAUCCCCACAUUCAUUUUCUUGAGGCCAAAGAAGUAAAAGGUGGGACAGGUGAGUCCUUCCCCCCCAGACACUCGCACCCCCGGGAGGAGAUGCCCACGGUCUGUUUGGGCUCCAGCCAGGAGGCGCGUGGGUUACCUCGAUGGUUCUCUACCGGGGGGCCUGUCACGGAGCCACACCUGCAGAGGCUCGCAGUCCCCGCCCCUCCAGCCGAGGAUGGGGCUGUCACCACCUUAACUAAGAGGAGGCCGUGGCCAUCCCAGGCCUGUGCUUUACAGGUCCCGGCAGCUUCUGUUCUUGUCCUGCUGGGAGCCCUGAGCUGCCACAUAGGAAGUCUGGCCACCUGCUGGAGAGGGAGUAGCCCUAAGGGGACACGGGACGAGAAUGGUCCCAUUGUCCAGGUGACAGAGCCCAUCAGCCUGCACAGAUGACCACGCAGAAGAACUGCCAAGUGGAGCCCAGCCCAUUCCGCAGAAUGGUGUGUAGAUCAGAGUAUGGUUGUUCUUAGCCGCUAAGGUUAGGGAGGCGCGUUACAUGGCAGCAGAGAACCAAGGCAGCAGCUGUAUACGUGAUCAUCUCCCCAAGAGGUUUUGAGAAGGAAGGGGCUAUGGUUAGUAACGGGUAACACCAGAACCACAGCGUAAGCCAGGACUGCCCCAGAAGCAUGAGGGCCUGUGUUGGCCCUAGUGAUGAAUAGCUCUGUGACCAAUCAUUGAACGUUUCCUACUGAGAGUCUUUCGUUCCCAAUGGAUAGAAACCAAACUCUAAUUGGUUUAAGCCACAGAGAUUGCUCUGGACUCAGAAUUAGAAAACCCAGAAGCAGUACUGCUUCAGGCACGUUUUGAUCCAGGAGCUGACAUUAUGUCACUGGGGCUCAGUCUCUCCCCAUCUCUGCUUUUUUUUUAGUGGGUUUCAUUCUUUUUCCAGCUUUCCUUUGAAGCAGCAAGGUAAUACCCCAGCAACAUCAAGCUUAUGGGACAUUCGAAUUCCACAAAAGUCCUAGAACUGAGUCCGUGGCACCGAUCGGCUGCUUUGGGCCACAUGCCGUGAACCAGUCACUCUGGCAGGAGUAGGUGCUAAUCCAACGGGCAGACCUAGGACCUAGGUCCGCUGAGCUGUGAGGACCUUGGCCCCAGGGUGGGGUCUGGCCCAGCGUUUCUUUUAGGGCAGGGAGAGGGUCCCCAAGGAGAGCCUGAGCGCUGCUCCUGAACGUGGGAAUGGAGGCGGUAUGGGCACAGAGGCAGCUUUGCAGCAGCACACACGGCCCCCCCGUGCCUGAGCCAAGCGAGUCUGCGUGUCGCAAAGGGUAAAUGGUGACCACAAACUCCUCGAGGAGUCGCCCGCAGAGGCCAGAGAUGGUGCUGCUGAAGGUCUGGACGGCAGUCCUGGGCGGCUCGGAAGCAGCUGACGGGAGCUGCUGCUUGGAGGAGCAGGUGUCGUCCCUGGUGUGCCACCGAGCUGUAGACGGAACCCUCAACAGGGCAGUGAGAGAGCGGCCUCCGGAAGCCCUGUCCUGACCCCUCCAGACAGAGUGACCCCAGCCUCUGAGCCCAAGCCCCGGGGAGCAGUGGCUCUGUUCUCCACGCAGGGUCCUCGGGGGGCCGGGGGGGGUGGAGCUGGAGCUGCGCCGCCGUCUUAGGCUUCCGUCCCUUUUCCUGAGCGUUUGCUGCAGGCGCCGUGUGGAAACAUGGGAAGUGCCCGCCUCCUCGCUGUGCUGGUUUCUGAGUGGAGUGAGUGGUGUUCUGCUCGCAGAAGGACUUCUCCCCAAACCCUGCCCUCCAGCUACUCGGGCGCCGGCAGCCCACGGAGGAGCCGGCCCUCGCCCUCCUCCCCUGUGGCCUGGGGGCCCCUGACAUCCCUUCACUCGGUGCCUCGGCUUGCUGUCGCCCUUCACUGGGUUGCCUGCUGCUCGUAGCGCCCGGAUUAGCUCAGCACUUGGAGCAGCUCUUUCCCAGUCCCGCCUCCGGUGCUGAGCCGGGGCCGGGCCGGCGCAGUGAGAGCGCGGCACCUCCGGAAGGCUCCACGUGCUGGCCUCAGGGCCCAGGGACGGCUAAGUGCGCGUGGCCUCAAGGUGUGGCCUGGGCCUCCCUGUGACGGCGGCCAGGGCAUCCCGGGAGAGAGAGCCAGCACCUGGACGCUGCUGUUGCACUCUGGGAAGUGCCAUCUACCACACUAGGAACCAUGGGGUUGUGGGUUUGAUCCCUGGCCUCGCUCAGUGGGUUAAGGAUCCGGCGCUGCCGUGAGCUGUGGUGUAGGUCGCAGAUGUGGCUCGGAUCCCAAGUUGCUGUGGCUGUGGUGUAGGCUGUCAGCUACAGCUCAGAUUAAACCCCCUAGCCUGGGAACCUCCAUGUGCCACGGGGGCAGCCCU
This 5987-nucleotide long non-coding RNA is filed under the name Sus scrofa (pig). Its description in RNAcentral is "lncRNA (ENSSSCG00000055553.1)". Lineage: Eukaryota; Metazoa; Chordata; Mammalia; Artiodactyla; Suidae. The record is from RNAcentral.